Molecule: ribosomal RNA, 548 nt
Filed under: Metschnikowia aff. chrysoperlae P44A006
Lineage: Eukaryota; Fungi; Ascomycota; Pichiomycetes; Serinales; Metschnikowiaceae
Description: LSU rRNA
Rfam family: Eukaryotic large subunit ribosomal RNA
Source: RNAcentral
CCUCACCCUCGUAAGACUACCCGCUGAACUUAAGCAUAUCAAUAAGCGGAGGAAAAGAAACCAACAGGGAUUGCCUCAGUAACGGCGAGUGAAGCGGCAAAAGCUCAAAUUUGAAAUCCCCCGGGAAUUGUAAUUUGAAGAGAUUUGGGUCCGGCCGGCAGGGGUUAAGUCCACUGGAAAGUGGCGCCACAGAGGGUGACAGCCCCGUGAACCCCUUUAACGCCCUCAUCCCAGAUCUCCAAGAGUCGAGUUGUUUGGGAAUGCAGCUCUAAGUGGGUGGUAAAUUCCAUCUAAAGCUAAAUACCGGCGAGAGACCGAUAGCGAACAAGUACAGUGAUGGAAAGAUGAAAAGCACUUUGAAAAGAGAGUGAAAAAGUACGUGAAAUUGUUGAAAGGGAAGGGCUUGCAAGCAGACACUUAACUGGGCCAGCAUCGGGGCGGCGGGGAGCAAAACCACUGGGGAAUGUACCUUUCGAGGAUUAUAACCCCGGUCCUUACUCCCUCACCAUCCCGAGGCCUGCAAUCUAAGGAUGCUGGCGUAAUGGUUG